AUGGUCUCGGCGCAGAAGCGGGGCACCGAGAAGCCGCCGCCGUUGUUGGCGUCGGACUGCGUGAGCGUCUUGGCGAAGGAGGCCGGCUUGGGGCGGUCGUCCUCGGCGGCGUCGCCCACGUCGACCGCCGGCUCGCCCUGGCGGAGCGGGGCGAGGCGGAUCUUGGCGAAGACCUCGUCGGUCUGCGGGUCGGCCAUGAAGCGCACGGCGGAGACGCGGCAGGGGAGGAGGGCCGGCACGCGCGCGGCGGACAGGUCGACGGUGGCGGCGGCCUGCUCUGCGUGGCCCUGCGGGAAGUAG
Molecule: ribosomal RNA, 300 nt
Filed under: Triticum aestivum (bread wheat)
Lineage: Eukaryota; Viridiplantae; Streptophyta; Magnoliopsida; Poales; Poaceae
Description: partial small subunit ribosomal RNA
Source: RNAcentral